This 624-nucleotide long non-coding RNA is filed under the name Capsicum annuum. Its description in RNAcentral is "long non-coding RNA (CANN_LNC001366)". Lineage: Eukaryota; Viridiplantae; Streptophyta; Magnoliopsida; Solanales; Solanaceae. The record is from RNAcentral.
CGGGACGUGUUCAUGGAUGAAAAGAACAAAAUCAUGAGAAUCAUAAACGGUAAAAGGCUGGUUGUGUGACAUGUAUUGUCUAGGUGUACAUUAAAGCUCGACGGUUCAAAGAUAUCAAAUGUACCGAUUGACCGAGUGCAUCCGAUGCAUGUUCACUACGAAAAGUUCAAAGGAAAACCCACUUAUUUAGAUGCAAUCAGUCUUUGCUUGAUGAUCACAUACUUAUCCGUAAAGUUUUUUGAAAAAUAGCCAUUCCCCAUUCAUAUGGGGGAUUGUUGGGUUUUAUGUGUGUGUUUUGAAUGGAAAAUGGAGGAAAUUAAGUGGAAGAGAAAAUUGAGUUUACACCAAAAUGGAAAGUGUGCUCAAAAUAAGAAAGCUUACUAAAAUUCUCCCACAUUGGUGGGAGAAAGAAGCUUUAAAGUGUUUAUAUUGUGAAACACAUUUCCAAAUGCUAAGUGAGGCAAGAAAUAAGAGAUGCUUUGCGCCGUCACCGUCGUCGCUCGCUCAGCUUCGGCUUCCGCUUCGGAUUCAGAUUCAGAUUCAGAUUUGGUCCGAAACAAUGUUUGAUACUCUAUUUAUGCAGUGAACUGAUGCACUGUUUUCUGAACUAGUGCAUUGUUUGAA